CCCUAGUACUCUCAAAACGUUUCAUGCAUAGCACAUCCUUUUUUACUUUGGUUACACUUUGAACAAUGAUACCUUCUGAAACCAUAUGGGUAGUCCUUUUCUUUUCUCUUAGCAAAGACAGUAUCAUGAUUCUACUAGAUUUUAUUAUAAAUAAUAACAAAAAUGACGAUCGAUGUGUUCAAAGUAUUGUUUUCACUGUAU
Molecule: long non-coding RNA, 201 nt
Filed under: Sorghum bicolor (sorghum)
Lineage: Eukaryota; Viridiplantae; Streptophyta; Magnoliopsida; Poales; Poaceae
Description: long non-coding RNA (SBIC_LNC001672)
Source: RNAcentral